This 527-nucleotide long non-coding RNA is filed under the name Homo sapiens (human). Its description in RNAcentral is "HSALNT0127332". The record is from RNAcentral. Lineage: Eukaryota; Metazoa; Chordata; Mammalia; Primates; Hominidae.
AGAGACUUAUCUCUUCCUCUUAAAUGGGGAUCACUAUGGGAGUGUUUUCUGGGAGUCUCUGAAGGAGGAAUUCCACAGAAUGUCAAAUGUUCUGAUCCUAGAGGCUCAGAGACUGGAGUGGCCCUAGUUCCACAGGAGGAGAAAGACUUUCUCUUUUUAAAACCGGAAAUAUAUCCUGCCUGAAAUAAUUUGGAGAACUCCUCGUUGUGAAGUCUACAGGGACAUCAAAAAAACACAGCUAUCUGUUCCCCAGCUAUAUCUUCUUCUUUAUCCCUUGGAACAUUUGUAGCUGCACUUCCUACAAGAAGGAACCAUUUGUAAUCAUGAGCAAAGGUUGAUUCAAGAUUUUAUCGAAGCCUUUCUCCAUCUUGUGAUGAGCAGCGGCUGCCACCACUGCCACCUCAUUCAGUCAUUCUCGGUCUCAAAAUGCAGUGAAGCUUCUCUUCUCUGAUCUCCCUACAUUGAAGCAUAUUAUUCUUGCUCUUGUUGCUUGUGGAAAGUGAAUUAAAUUGAAAUCUGGAGUGCAG